AGAGUUUGAUCAUGGCUCAGAUUGAACGCUGGCGGCAGGCCUAACACAUGCAAGUCGAGCGGUAGCACAGAGAGCUUGCUCUCGGGUGACGAGCGGCGGACGGGUGAGUAAUGUCUGGGAAACUGCCUGAUGGAGGGGGAUAACUACUGGAAACGGUAGCUAAUACCGCAUAACGUCGCAAGACCAAAGUGGGGGACCUUCGGGCCUCAUGCCAUCAGAUGUGCCCAGAUGGGAUUAGCUAGUAGGUGGGGUAACGGCUCACCUAGGCGACGAUCCCUAGCUGGUCUGAGAGGAUGACCAGCCACACUGGAACUGAGACACGGUCCAGACUCCUACGGGAGGCAGCAGUGGGGAAUAUUGCACAAUGGGCGCAAGCCUGAUGCAGCCAUGCCGCGUGUGUGAAGAAGGCCUUCGGGUUGUAAAGCACUUUCAGCGGGGAGGAAGGCGGUGAGGUUAAUAACCUCAUCGAUUGACGUUACCCGCAGAAGAAGCACCGGCUAACUCCGUGCCAGCAGCCGCGGUAAUACGGAGGGUGCAAGCGUUAAUCGGAAUUACUGGGCGUAAAGCGCACGCAGGCGGCCUGUCAAGUCGGAUGUGAAAUCCCCGGGCUCAACCUGGGAACUGCAUUCGAAACUGGCAGGCUAGAGUCUUGUAGAGGGGGGUAGAAUUCCAGGUGUAGCGGUGAAUGCGUAGAGAUCUGGAGGAAUACCGGUGGCGAAGGCGGCCCCCUGGACAAAGACUGACGCUCAGGUGCGAAAGC
Molecule: ribosomal RNA, 760 nt
Filed under: uncultured bacterium
Lineage: Bacteria
Description: bacterial SSU rRNA
Rfam family: Bacterial small subunit ribosomal RNA
Source: RNAcentral